Molecule: ribosomal RNA, 328 nt
Filed under: uncultured bacterium
Lineage: Bacteria
Description: bacterial SSU rRNA
Rfam family: Bacterial small subunit ribosomal RNA
Source: RNAcentral
CGUGUAGGCGGUGCGGUAAGUUGGGCGUGAAAUCCCCGAGCUUAACUCGGGUGGGCCGUUCAAGACUGCCGUGCUAGGGUGCGGGAGAGGGAAGUGGAACUUCCGGUGUAGCGGUGAAAUGCGUAGAUAUCGGGAGGAACACCUGCGGCGAAGGCGGCUUCCUGGACCGUAACCGACGCUGAGGCGCGAAAGCUAGGGGAGCAAACAGGAUUAGAUACCCUGGUAGUCCUAGCCCUAAACGAUGAGCACUGGGUGUGGCCCCUCACGAGGCCGUGCCGAAGCUAACGCAUUAAGUGCUCCGCCUGGGGAGUACGGUCGCAAGGCUGAA